ACCCCGUGGCUUUAAGGUCCGGCGUGCCGUGUGCCUGCGGAAUUGCCACGAGAGGAAAUACCUCAGAGGGGCUUCCCUCCAGAUAAGCCCUGAAUAUGCCAGGAGGUUUCAGCCGGGAGAAAGGAGCUGUGGAAGAAAACCAGCC
Molecule: long non-coding RNA, 145 nt
Organism: Chiroxiphia lanceolata (lance-tailed manakin)
Lineage: Eukaryota; Metazoa; Chordata; Aves; Passeriformes; Pipridae
Exons: 2
Source: RefSeq, a predicted model, not a curated record